AAAAGAAUAAAUGAUAAUAACAAAUUAUAACUUUACAUAUCCCUUUAUGAGUUCUCACACUAGCAAAAAGGCCAAGAAAGAAAAAGUUCAGGGCUUUCAUGUUUCAAGAACGGAACGAAAUAAACUUUAUCCUUCCAUCCUUCAAAAGAGAAGAAUUCAGAGAUAAGUUGUGCAGGGAAGUACACUUUCCACGCAUAAAAAUCUCUAACAGAAGAAGUGGGAAAAAAAAAUCCGCAACUUUCAAUCUCUUCAUGAAACUAAUUAAUUAACUAGUGGAACAUGGUCAGUGUUAACCCUAAAGGCCUGAACCAGAAAAUUCACAAUUAUACAUAGAAAAAUAAGGUAACACAAAAAAAAAAAAAAAG
This 365-nucleotide unclassified non-coding RNA is filed under the name Hevea brasiliensis (rubber tree). Lineage: Eukaryota; Viridiplantae; Streptophyta; Magnoliopsida; Malpighiales; Euphorbiaceae. The record is from RNAcentral.